Molecule: long non-coding RNA, 697 nt
Filed under: Homo sapiens (human)
Lineage: Eukaryota; Metazoa; Chordata; Mammalia; Primates; Hominidae
Description: non-protein coding lnc-ARHGEF5-2:3
Source: RNAcentral
CCCCAACCCAGUAUGUGCAGAUGGGAUGGUGGGAUCUAGGUAGACCCAUGAUGAGAACAGAGGGGACAACAUGGAGUCUUGUUGGAAAGGCAGACUUUGUGAUAGCUCUUGCUUGAUUUUAUAUCUUGGUGGACCAUCAGAUUCUGAUUUUAAUGCAAAUACAUUCCAUUCCUUUAAAUAUAUACACUCUCUUCCAUAUGUAUUAUAAAUAAAAAAGAACUUAUUUAGAAUAGCUCUGGGCUCACUCAUGUUUUUGUAUAUUACUGUAUCCUUUUGGAGCUGUUCUCCAAACUCUAGAGGCACCAUUCAGACAGAAGAAAUCAAUUUCAGACACGAUGGGAUAACAGUUUUCAACUCACUGGGCUGCAAGUUUGCAGGUCUCUGGAAAAAUUGUAGAGAAAUUAUCAGUCCUUCACCUGACUUUAAAGGACCCUUCAGUUUGUAGAAGGGGCUCAGAAAAAGAGCUGAUGCAGGUCUUGGCACUGUGCCAGUCAUAGAUGAAGUGACUCAAAUGUGAUGGGACCACCUUAUAGAGAGCCACACCAGGGUGCCAUAGCACACUGAUUGAGAACCAUGCCGCUGCUUCUGCUGGGAUGCCCUCCAAAUUAUUGGGUGCAGACAUCAGAAUUGUGCCUGUAUCCUCCUGGUGGUAUGUGCUCCUCAGAGGCCUGAUCUACAUAUGUUCACCUCCUAGGUA